UACAGAGGGUGCAAGCGUUGUUCGGAAUUAUUGGGCGUAAAGGGCGCGUAGGCGGUGCUGUAAGUCUGUAGUGAAAUCUCUGGGCUCAACUCAGAGUCUGCUAUAGAAACUGCAGUGCUGGAGUGUGGGAGAGGUGAGUGGAAUUCCCGGUGUAGCGGUGAAAUGCGUGGAUAUCGGGAGGAACACCUGUGGCGAAAGCGGCUCACUGGACCACAACUGACGCUGAGGCGCGAAAGCUAGGGGAGCAAACAGG
This 253-nucleotide ribosomal RNA is filed under the name uncultured bacterium. Its description in RNAcentral is "partial 16S ribosomal RNA". It matches the Rfam family "Bacterial small subunit ribosomal RNA", at positions 524 to 776 of the family's 1533-position model. The record is from RNAcentral.